RNAcentral lists this ribosomal RNA (449 nucleotides) under uncultured bacterium. Its description in RNAcentral is "bacterial SSU rRNA". It matches the Rfam family "Bacterial small subunit ribosomal RNA", at positions 329 to 793 of the family's 1533-position model. The record is from RNAcentral.
UUCCAGACUCCUACGGGAGGCAGCAGUGGGGAAUAUUGCACAAUGGGGGAAACCCUGAUGCAGCGACGCCGCGUGAGUGAAGAAGUAUUUCGGUAUGUAAAGCUCUAUCAGCAGGGAAGAAAAUGACGGUACCUGAUUAAGAAGCCCCGGCUAACUACGUGCCAGCAGCCGCGGUAAUACGUAGGGGGCAAGCGUUAUCCGGAUUUACUGGGUGUAAAGGGAGCGUAGACGGUGAUGCAAGUCAGAAGUGAAAGCCCGGGGCUCAACUCCGGGACUGCUUUUGAAACUGUGUGACUGGAGUGCAGGAGAGGUAAGCGGAAUUCCUGGUGUAGCGGUGAAAUGCGUAGAUAUCAGGAGGAACACCAGUGGCGAAGGCGGCUUACUGGACUGUAACUGACGUUGAGGCUCGAAAGCGUGGGGAGCAAACAGGAUUAGAUACCCCGGUACAG